This 500-nucleotide ribosomal RNA is filed under the name uncultured bacterium. Its description in RNAcentral is "partial 16S ribosomal RNA". It matches the Rfam family "Bacterial small subunit ribosomal RNA", at positions 30 to 523 of the family's 1533-position model. The record is from RNAcentral.
AUUGAACGCUGGCGGCAUGCCUUACACAUGCAAGUCGAACGGCAGCACGGGAGCAAUCCUGGUGGCGAGUGGCGAACGGGUGAGUAAAGUAUCGGAACGUGCCCAGUCGUGGGGGAUAACGUAGCGAAAGUUACGCUAAUACCGCAUACGAUCUAUGGAUGAAAGCGGGGAAUCGCAAGACCUCGCGCGAUUGGAGCGGCCGAUAUCAGAUUAGGUAGUUGGUGGGGUAAAGGGUCACCAAGCCGACGAUCUGUAGCUGGGCUGAGAGGACGACCAGCAACGCUGGGACUGAGACACGGCCCAGACUCCUACGGGAGGGAGCAGUGGGGAAUUUUGGACAAUGGGCGAAAGCCUGAUCCAGCCAUGCCGCGUGCAGGAUGAAGGCCUUCGGGUUGUAAACUGCUUUUGUACGGAACGAAAAGGUUUGGCCUAAUAAGCUGAGCUCAUGACGGUACCGUAAGAAUAAGCACCGGCUAACUACGUGCCAGCAGCCGCCGUAA